RNAcentral lists this ribosomal RNA (1432 nucleotides) under uncultured organism. RNAcentral's name for it is "16S ribosomal RNA". It matches the Rfam family "Bacterial small subunit ribosomal RNA". The record is from RNAcentral.
CGGCGUGCUUAACACAUGCAAGUCGAACGGAAAGGCCCUGCUUUUGUGGGGUGCUCGAGUGGCGAACGGGUGAGUAACACGCGAGUAACCUGCCCUUGACUUUGGGAUAACUUCAGGAAACUGGGGCUAAUACCGGAUAGGAGCUCCUGCUGCAUGGUGGGGGUUGGAAAGUUUCGGCGGUUGGGGAUGGACUCGCGGCUUAUCAGCUUGUUGGUGGGGUAGUGGCUUACCAAGGCUUUGACGGGUAGCCGGCCUGAGAGGGUGACCGGCCACAUUGGGACUGAGAUACGGCCUAGACUCCUACGGGAGGCAGCAGUGGGGAAUAUUGCACAAUGGGCGGAAGCCUGAUGCAGCAACGCCGCGUGCGGGAUGACGGCCUUCGGGUUGUAAACCGCUUUCGCCUGUGACGAAGCGUGAGUGACGGUAAUGGGUAAAGAAGCACCGGCUAACUACGUGCCAGCAGCCGCGGUGAUACGUAGGGUGCGAGCGUUGUCCGGAUUUAUUGGGCGUAAAGGGCUCGUAGGUGGUUGAUCGCGUCGGAAGUGUAAUCUUGGGGCUUAACCCUGAGCGUGCUUUCGAUACGGGUUGACUUGAGGAAGGUAGGGGAGAAUGGAAUUCCUGGUGGAGCGGUGGAAUGCGCAGAUAUCAGGAGGAACACCAGUGGCGAAGGCGGUUCUCUGGGCCUUUCCUGACGCUGAGGAGCGAAAGCGUGGGGAGCGAACAGGCUUAGAUACCCUGGUAGUCCACGCUGUAAACGGUGGGUACUAGGUGUGGGGUCCAUUCCACGGGUUCCGUGCCGUAGCUAACGCUUUAAGUACCCCGCCUGGGGAGUACGGCCGCAAGGCUAAAACUCAAAGGAAUUGACGGGGCCCCGCACAAGCGGCGGAGCAUGCGGAUUAAUUCGAUGCAACGCGUAGAACCUUACCUGGGUUUGACAUGGAUCGGGAGUGCUCAGAGAUGGGUGUGCCUCUUUUGGGGUCGGUUCACAGGUGGUGCAUGGCUGUCGUCAGCUCGUGUCGUGAGAUGUUGGGUUAAGUCCCGCAACGAGCGCAACCCUUGUUCACUGUUGCCAGCACGUUAUGGUGGGGACUCAGUGGAGACCGCCGGGGUCAACUCGGAGGAAGGUGGGGAUGACGUCAAGUCAUCAUGCCCCUUAUGUCCAGGGCUUCACGCAUGCUACAAUGGCUGGUACAGAGAGUGGCGAGCCUGUGAGGGUGAGCGAAUCUCGGAAAGCCGGUCUCAGUUCGGAUUGGGGUCUGCAACUCGACCUCAUGAAGUCGGAGUCGCUAGUAAUCGCAGAUCAGCAACGCUGCGGUGAAUACGUUCCCGGGGCUUGUACACACCGCCCGUCAAGUCAUGAAAGUUGGUAACACCCGAAGCCGGUGGCCUAACCGUUGUGGGGGAGCCGUCGAAGGUGGGACUGGUGAUUAGG